RNAcentral lists this ribosomal RNA (378 nucleotides) under Pseudomonas fluorescens. Its description in RNAcentral is "bacterial SSU rRNA". It matches the Rfam family "Bacterial small subunit ribosomal RNA", at positions 8 to 388 of the family's 1533-position model. Lineage: Bacteria; Pseudomonadati; Pseudomonadota; Gammaproteobacteria; Pseudomonadales; Pseudomonadaceae. The record is from RNAcentral.
AGAGUUUGAUCCUGGCUCAGAUUGAACGCUGGCGGCAGGCCUAACACAUGCAAGUCGAGCGGUAGAGAGGUGCUUGCACCUCUUGAGAGCGGCGGACGGGUGUAGUAAUGCCUAGGAAUCUGCCUGGUAGUGGGGGAUAACGCUCGGAAACGGACGCUAAUACCGCAUACGUCCUACGGGAGAAAGCAGGGGACCUUCGGGCCUUGCGCUAUCAGAUGAGCCUAGGUCGGAUUAGCUAGUUGGUGGGGUNAUGGCUCACCAAGGCGACGAUCCGUAACUGGUCUGAGAGAUGAUCAGUCACACUGGAACUGAGACACGGUCCAGACUCCUACGGGAGGCAGCAGUGGGGAAUAUUGGACAAUGGGCGAAAGCCUGAUC